CUUAUUGGCCAGUAAAGGAGAGACAUUAUUUCAUUGGUUAGUUUGUAUUGCCUUGCCAACCAACCAGAGGAUGCCAUUUAUCCUUUUCUGACUAGCUGAGUGAACAGAGUA
RNAcentral lists this microRNA precursor (111 nucleotides) under Canis lupus familiaris (dog). Its description in RNAcentral is "miRNA (ENSCAFG00845003656.1)". Lineage: Eukaryota; Metazoa; Chordata; Mammalia; Carnivora; Canidae. The record is from RNAcentral.